RNAcentral lists this long non-coding RNA (1335 nucleotides) under Olea europaea subsp. europaea. Lineage: Eukaryota; Viridiplantae; Streptophyta; Magnoliopsida; Lamiales; Oleaceae. The record is from RNAcentral.
UUUUCAUAUUCUAAAUGUGUUGGCUACCAAAUAUCUUGAUUAGGAUUGAGGUAAGAUUGGUGUAAUAUAGAAUCUAUGUACCAUAAUUAAUUUUAUUAAUAUUCUAGGUAAGCCACUUUCUAAUUUCAAAUUCUACACUAUGUUUUUCAGAGCUCCGGUAGAAUAAGAGGAUGCUUGAUAAACCCAUCCGAGAAAUUGGAAGGAAAAAGACUAUUUACAAGCACAAGGAAAGAAACUGAUUGUGGAGAUAAAAAAAAAUGUAAAGCAAGGGCAGAUGGUAAGUUAUUCUCUAUAGAUAAUUUCAUUUCAGUUUCUUAGACUUUAUGACUCUCUUUUCUCCCAUAGGCCCCAUCUACUUUAUUGCCCAGGUUGCUCCCAUAAAGACAUUUUGGAAUUUUUUUUUUUUUUUUUUUAUCAGAUUGAUUUUAAAGAUAGAUUCAUUAAUGAUAAUUUAGUGAAUUUUAAUCUUCAUUAUAUGAACCAUCUAGAAGAAACAAGCUGUCCAAAUUUAAAGCUCAAAUAACAGAAGUGAAAGGGAUAAUGAUGGACAAUAUUGAGAAAGUAUAACAAGAGGCAUCAAAGCCCACGCACAAGAAGUCGAUACAGGAGUCGUGAAAGAGACCUCCCUACAAGCUUUUUGGUCUGCAAACGUCGGCAUGAUUGCAAGUCUAUUUUCAUGUUUCUUAAAUGAAAAUUCAAUUGCUAUUAUUUCUUGUAGUUGUUCAACCAGCUUCAAGCUACUUUCUUGUUAUUGAAAUUACUUUAAAAGCAUCGAUAUCUUCUUCCCAAUUUUUUGAUUUCACUAUCACGCCUUGGAGAUAUAUCUUCCAUAUUAUAAACAUUUUCUUUUCUACAGAAAGCAUUAUUUCCUACCUUUGGCAUUUGGUUACUAUUUUAGAUGUAUUGAUCAUCUGAGUAUAUAUACGAACCUAAUCUAUCCAUAAAUUAUUUUACAUGCCAUACUGGUUGGAUGCACAAAGUUACUUCAUUAGGCAUACGCUUAUUUUGAUAGUGUGUGUAUCCAAUUCCAUGUUCAUAUUAGUGUGAUUUUUUAUAUGUAUCAACUUCCAUGACUAAAAUAUGUACCUUCAUUUGGACAUGAAAACCUCAUCCCUAAAAGAAUCUCAUACAGACACAAUGACAUUUAGGAAUACGUUAUUUAGAGUGAACUGAGCCACAAAAUUUAUUUACCAAGUGUGUUUCUAAAAACUAAAGAUUAGUAAGUGCCUAAGAUUUAGGUGAAAAUUUAUGGAACUUUCAAAAUAAUCCCAAUAAUAAUUGACACGCUAACAUUACCUUAAAAAUAAUACGGCCCAUGCAUUGCACGGGCAUAAG